Molecule: ribosomal RNA, 198 nt
Filed under: uncultured bacterium
Lineage: Bacteria
Description: partial 16S ribosomal RNA
Rfam family: Bacterial small subunit ribosomal RNA
Source: RNAcentral
ACGCUCGACACCUACGGGAAGCAGCAGUGGGGAAUAUUGCACAAUGGGGGAAACCCUGAUGCAGCGACGCCGCGUGGGUGAAGAAGUAUUUCGGUAUGUAAAGCUCUAUCAGCAGGGAAGAAAAUGACGGUACCUGACUAAGAAGCCCCGGCUAACUACGUGCCUGCAGCCGCGGUAAUCUGAGCGGGCUGGCAAGGC